Molecule: ribosomal RNA, 1206 nt
Filed under: human gut metagenome
Description: bacterial SSU rRNA
Rfam family: Bacterial small subunit ribosomal RNA
Source: RNAcentral
AGAGUUUGAUCCUGGCUCAGGAUGAACGCUAGCUACAGGCUUAACACAUGCAAGUCGAGGGGAAACGACAUCGAAAGCUUGCUUUUGAUGGGCGUCGACCGGCGCACGGGUGAGUAACGCGUAUCCAACCUGCCCACCACUUGGGGAUAACCUUGCGAAAGUAAGACUAAUACCCAAUGAUAUCUCUAGAAGACAUCUGAAAGAGAUUAAAGAUUUAUCGGUGAUGGAUGGGGAUGCGUCUGAUUAGCUUGUUGGCGGGGUAACGGCCCACCAAGGCGACGAUCAGUAGGGGUUCUGAGAGGAAGGUCCCCCACAUUGGAACUGAGACACGGUCCAAACUCCUACGGGAGGCAGCAGUGAGGAAUAUUGGUCAAUGGACGAGAGUCUGAACCAGCCAAGUAGCGUGCAGGAUGACGGCCCUAUGGGUUGUAAACUGCUUUUAUAAGGGAAUAAAGUGAGUCUCGUGAGACUUUUUGCAUGUACCUUAUGAAUAAGGACCGGCUAAUUCCGUGCCAGCAGCCGCGGUAAUACGGAAGGUCCGGGCGUUAUCCGGAUUUAUUGGGUUUAAAGGGAGCGUAGGCCGGAGAUUAAGCGUGUUGUGAAAUGUAGACGCUCAACGUCUGCACUGCAGCGCGAACUGGUUUCCUUGAGUACGCACAAAGUGGGCGGAAUUCGUGGUGUAGCGGUGAAAUGCUUAGAUAUCACGAAGAACUCCGAUUGCGAAGGCAGCUCACUGGAGCGCAACUGACGCUGAAGCUCGAAAGUGCGGGUAUCGAACAGGAUUAGAUACCCUGGUAGUCCGCACGGUAAACGAUGGAUGCCCGCUGUUGGUCUGAAUAGGUCAGCGGCCAAGCGAAAGCAUUAAGCAUCCCACCUGGGGAGUACGCCGGCAACGGUGAAACUCAAAGGAAUUGACGGGGGCCCGCACAAGCGGAGGAACAUGUGGUUUAAUUCGAUGAUACGCGAGGAACCUUACCCGGGCUUGAAUUGCAGAGGAAGGAUUUGGAGACAAUGACGCCCUUCGGGGCCUCUGUGAAGGUGCUGCAUGGUUGUCGUCAGCUCGUGCCGUGAGGUGUCGGCUUAAGUGCCAUAACGAGCGCAACCCCUCUCCUUAGUUGCCAUCAGGUCAAGCUGGGCACUCUGGGGACACUGCCACCGUAAGGUGUGAGGAAGGUGGGGAUGACGUCAAAUCAGCACGGCCCUUAC